RNAcentral lists this ribosomal RNA (366 nucleotides) under Triticum aestivum (bread wheat). RNAcentral describes it as "partial small subunit ribosomal RNA". Lineage: Eukaryota; Viridiplantae; Streptophyta; Magnoliopsida; Poales; Poaceae. The record is from RNAcentral.
AUGGAUCAUGGGAGCUUAAAUGUGGGUAGUUGGGUAGUUGUGGGGAAGAGUAAAUUGGAGCUUGGCUUCUGUUACGGUCCUGGUAUGAAUGCUCUUGUUUACUGCAGUCUAAGGCCUUGCAACCCUCGGUAUGCGCACCCAGGCCACUGUACACCCAGCAUCAGAUAUGUACAUAAGUGCAGUAUGUCAAGUCUUGGCUUUAUGAUCUUAACUCAAGCUAGAAAGUACACCAACAGAGUAAACAUGUAUGGUCCCAUGGAGAUCUGCGGUCCAUGUUUUGGUUUGACCGUAGCCAAAACCUUUGGAGCCACUGGCAUAGCUACGCUCACUGGCAGGUGGGUCCUGCCGCAAAGAAACACAAGUUAG